GAACGUAUCAUUCAAGACCACACCAAUUACAAAACACUCAAUUGGUGCAUCUUGGGCUGAAGGUGGCCUGGGGUAAAAGACUGGAUGUCUUCCUGGAAUAUUCAAAAUCUCAGUUGUUGGCCUGUGGGGCGGCUACUGAUUCCUGAUUCUAAUCAUACUACUGAUUCCGUCCCCCCCCCCGGCAUUCCGCUGAGAAAAAGAGAUGUGAAAUGAGAUUAAAUGCUCUGAUUCUAGACAGCCAGAAUCAAAGUAACGAGAACAGCAGAAUGUAGGACAUUUCUCCUUUUCUCCCUAGUGGGUGCACAAGCCUCAUCCUUGGGAUAUAUUCCAAUUAAAGCUUAUUAUCUUGUUA
This is a non-coding RNA of Pantherophis guttatus, 352 nucleotides long. The record is from RefSeq and is a predicted model, not a curated record. NCBI's taxonomy places the organism in Eukaryota, Metazoa, Chordata, Lepidosauria, Squamata, Colubridae.